GUCAAGGCUUGUCAUGUCAUCCUCUGCAGACCUCCGCCAAGCAGCUCAUUUUAAGAUAGAUGCGCGAGUAAAAUUACUAAUAGAGAAACGAAAAUAAACUUUGGAAAUAGCAACACCACCAUAGGUUAAGUGGAAAUGAUGAAUGUGUUUUCAAGAGAGAUAAUCAAAGAACAUAACAUUGUAAUACUUCAUGUAAAGUAAAUAUAACAAAUGAAAAGUCUGUAUUGAUGCUACUGUGUAGGGUUCAGCGCGCAUGCGCAGAAUGGGACUACUUCCGGGUGGCCACCGGAAGUCUUCCCCAUGCGCAUGUGCGGGAAAACGUUCCCUCAGGCCCGCCAAACUCAAAUCAUUCUCUCUGGCAAGUCAGCCAACGCGAUCGGACGUACAUUUCGCAGGCUCUGAUAAACUCACCGACUUAGCCGCCAACGACCAUCGAACCUCUUCAACAAAACGAACAAGAAGCUGUACAUCAGAGGCUGUCCUUCUCCCAUCAGACACACGUACGCCAUCGUAAUAAAUAAACGAACUGCUGUCUUUUACCUACAACCUAACUUCGUCUGUAUUGUCUUACAAAAAUUGUAUGUGACUGGAUCGGAUCGACACCCUUUCAGUGAAUCGAUAACCCAUCCUGUUACAAUUGGUGACCCCAAGUUGAAAAAAAAAAAGAACAGAAGACGCAGCGAACAGGUUUUUGCCAGAUAGAGCACUGAACAUUCAUUUUUUCAUUUUUUCUCUUCUUUCAGAACGGCGAGGUGGGUACAAACAGAAGCUUAUUCAUCGCACGCACUCAGUACACUGAAAAAAAAAAAAAAGAAAACACACACACAUCAUUAUUUUUUCUUUCCUUUUCUGUACUUUGUUUCCCUUUGUGCACACACACACUUGUUUUACUACCCACGAGGUACACACACCAGUACACAAAAACACAAUUUUGAUUUGCUUUGUUGGUUCCACGUGUUCUCUCUCCAUUUCUCAAUCAUACCUUCUGCCCCUUCCUGACAGACGAUCCUUCCGACAAAAACAUGGCUGCAUCAAGUUUGCCUCAUUCACAAACAUUUGAAUUUUCGCUACCAUCUCCAUCGCGGGGCCUGUACGCAUGUACAGAGCCCCCUCCGACACCUCCGACGAAUGAUCAACUAGCCGAGAAGAUCGAUGCACUUACGCAGAGAAUCGAUGAUCUGUGCCGUGCGAUCGGGUGCCAACCUCGCAGUCGUAGUCGCAGUAGCUCUAUUUCCCGUAGUCGGAGUAAUUCUGUUUCUCGUUCCGGCUGGUGCUGGUACCAUUCAAAGUAUGCCGAAAAGGCAGAUCAGUGUACCCAGCCAUGCACUUUCAAGCCCUCGGAAAACUAAAUCCGGAGGAGGUGAGCACGUCACCUUCUUCCAUCUCGUUUCCCAAACAUCGUGCAUCUUUGUAAAAGAUCUGGUGUUGAAGAAAUUCUUCAUGGUGGACACCGGCUCGUGUUGCAGCAUCUGGCCUCUUCGUCUGGCUGCAGACAAGCCCAAGCGCUCUUCAAUUGUCUUGCAUGCUAUUGACUCAUCUCCCAUAACCACUUACGGUCAGAUUUCGCUGCACCUCGACAUCAACCUUCGUCGAGAUUUUCAAUGGGUUUUCGUCAUCGCUGACAUCCCGCAUCCUAUUCUCGGCGCUGAUUUCCUGGAUAGGUUUAAUCUAUUGGUGGAUGUCGGAGGCUUCUUGAUAGCACGACGUCGCUCUCUACACCGACUUGGAGUUCCACCACUGCGGUCCUUAGCCCGACAUUCUUUGUUGCCACCUCUGGAGACCCUUUUCACUCUCUUUUGGUUUCAUUUCCAUAGCUAGUGGACAUUGCCUUUAAACCGGAAAAGCCUACCCACUCGACCCUCCAUUUUAUCACCACCGCUGGGCCGCCUGUAUUUUCGCGCCCACGGCGCCUUGCGCCAGACCGACUAAAAGCGGCCAGGGCCGAGUUUGAGCACAUGCUUCAACUUGGCCUUAUACGCCCCUCCACCAGCCCAUGGGCAUCUCCCCUUCAUUUGGCGCGAAAGGGCGAGUCUGAUUUUCGCCCGGUUGGAGACUAUCGACGCCUCAAUGCCGUAACAAUAGCCGACCGAUAUCUGAUCCGAAAUCUCCAGGACUUUACGGCAAAUCUCCAUGAUUGUACCAUUUUUUCGAAGGUCGACCUUAUACGCGCUUACCAUCAAAUACCGGUCAACCCAGCUGACGUUCCGAAAACUGCGAUCACUACCCCCUUUGGGUGUUUUGAGUUUUUGUAUAUGAGUUUCGGUUUGCGGAAUGCUACUAGCACUUUCCAGCGUUUCAUUGAUGAGGUUGUCCGCGGUCUUGAUUUUGUGUUUGCCUAUGUCGAUGAAAUACUCAUUGCGAGCGACACAUGUGAAAAUCAUCUCCAGCACCUUUCUCAGCUUUUUCAGUGUCUUCGCGCUUAUAGUAUACAUAUAAAUCCCGACAAGUGUGUUUUCGGACGCUCUUCCCUAGAUUUUCUAGGCCAUCAUAUUGAUUCGAGUGGAAUCAGCCCUCUAACGUCAAAAGUCGAUGCCAUUCAACGCAUCGCACCCCCCACUUCCUUGCGCCAGCUCAGGCAUUAUCUAGGGAUGAUCAAUUUCUACAGACGUUUUAUUCCUGGUUGUGCAGAUAAGCUACUACCUCUCACCAGGCUAUUAAAGGACUCUCCUAGAAAGGACAGUCAAGUCACCCUCUCUGUUGAGGCAGUGACAGCCUUUGAUUCCAUUAAGAAGGAGCUGGCUUCUGUUUCUUUACUUGCACAUCCAGUUCCUGGUGCUUCUCUCUCUUUGACUGUAGACGCAUCGGACACUGCGAUUGGCGCUGUGUUACAACAACACACAGUGGAUGAUCAUAUGCGACCUCUAGCUUUCUUUUCCCAUCAACUGCAACCAGCUGAACGACGAUACAGCACCUUUGAUCGUGAGCUCCUAGCGAUCUAUCUAUCGGUUCGUCAUUUCCAGCAUCAACUUGAAGGGCGAGAUUUUGUGAUCUAUACGGAUCACAAGCCUCUUAUGUUUGCCCUGUGUUCAAAAACGGACAAACUCUCACCCCGUGCUUUUCGGCACCUGGAUUUUAUCUCUCAAUUCACUAGCAACAUUCGACACAUACCUGGAAAAGAGAACGUUCCUGCUGAUGCUCUCUCUCGCCUUCCAGUUUGCGCCCUUUCGUCUCCUGCUGCUAUCGACUUAGCUGCCAUCUCGCAGGAGCAGCCACCUUUGGCGUCAUUAGACUUAACUUCUCCCAAGUUCUCCUGUUGCCAGUUUUCCUACCUUCCGCUUCCGUCAGCCGAAGGCACCAUUCUUUGUGAUACUUCCACUGGUUCUCCCAGGCCACUGGUGCCUGAGAACCAUCAACACUCAGUGUUUGAAGCACUGCACUCCUUAUCACAUCCUGGCAUCGCUGCCAUCCUUAAACUAAUCACUGCUCGGUUUUUCUGGCCGAAUAUGCGUCGCACUAUUACUUCUUGGACACGCACCUGCUCCAAUUGUCAACGGUCCAAGAUUCAACGGCAUGCUCGUGCCCCGCUUGGACAAUUUCCCCCACGGAGGCCCGUUUUCGCCAUGUCCACAUCGAUCUGGUUGGACCAUGGCCUGUGAGUCGCGGGUUCUCUUAUCUGUUAACUUGUGUCGAUCGCUUCUCCCGCUGGCCAGAAGCCAUUCCGAUAGCAGACAUUUCUGCUGAGACUGUUGCGUGAGCUAUUGUUUCAAACUGGAUUUCUCGCUUCGGAGUCCCGUCCCGAUUGACAACUGAUCGUGGACGUCAGUUUGAAGCCUCACUAUUUCGCGAAUUGUCGCGAAUUUUGGGUAUGCACCAUAUCCACACUACAAGCUACCAUCCAGUGUCUAAUGGAUUAGUUGAGCGGUUCCAUAGACAGCUCAAGGCCGCUCUUCGUGCCUCUUCAGACCCACAGUCCUGGAUUGAAUUUCUGCCCAUUGUGCUUCUCGGCUGUCGGACUGCUGUCAAGGCAGACCUGGGGUUUUCUGCUGCAGAGCUGCUGUAUGGUACCACACUGGCAUUGCCUGGCAUGAUGUUGGUGCCAGACACUUCCCAGCCCCAUGAUCCGGCGACCUAUGUCACCAGACUGCGUGCAUAUUUUUCGAACCUUCCACCCAUGGUUCCCAGAAAGCAAUCUCCACCAUCCCAUCUUCCACCGGAUAUGAACACUUGGUCGCAUGUUUUUGUUCGGGACGACUCUGUGAAGGGCCCACUUGUUUCUCCCUAUAAAGGACCUUUCCGUGUGCUUUCUCGCACACCAAAGGUUUUCACGAUUGAGAUAAAUGGUUGCUCGGAGACCGUUUCCGUGGACCGUUUAAAAAAAGCACAUUUUGAGACGCCUCCAUCUUUUGAUGACAACCUUGACACACCCACCUAUGCACCUUUAACAACACCUUCACCUGCACAACCGCCUUCACCUGCACAAACACCUUCACCUGCACAGACGCCUUUGCCUUCACCGGCUCCUACAACACCACCCUCGCCGUCAACGGGUGCCCCGAGCACACCGUAUGUUACACGAUCGGGCAGAACAGUGCAUUGGCCCAAGAAACUUUCAAAGACAAUCUACAUUUAACUUUCUUUUAAAAUUUUUCUUGUUUUGUAUGAUAUUAUGUACCAAGUCUUCUGGGGGAUCGGCAAGCCAUCUGUUUUUCUGCAGCACCACCACAAAUUUUCUUGUUGUCGUACUUUCGCACUCGAGGGGGAGCCUUUGUAGUGAUGCUACUGUGUAGGGCUCAGCGCGCAUGCGCAGAAUGGGACUACUUCCGGGUGGCCACCGGAAGUCUUCCCCAUGCGCAUGUGCGGGAAAACGUUCCCUCAGGCCCGCCAAACUCAAAUCAUUCUCUCUGGCAAGUCAGCCAACGCGAUCGGAUGUACAUUUCGCAGGCUCUGAUAAACUCACCGACUUAGCCGCCAACGACCAUCGAACCUCUUCAACAAAACGAACAAGAAGCUGUACAUCAGAGGCUGUCCUUCUCCCAUCAGACACACGUACGCCAUCG
This 4997-nucleotide long non-coding RNA is filed under the name Octopus vulgaris (common octopus). The record is from RNAcentral. Lineage: Eukaryota; Metazoa; Mollusca; Cephalopoda; Octopoda; Octopodidae.